Molecule: non-coding RNA, 72 nt
Organism: Burkholderia sp. AD24
Lineage: Bacteria; Pseudomonadati; Pseudomonadota; Betaproteobacteria; Burkholderiales; Burkholderiaceae
Source: Rfam
GGGGGAUUAGCUCAGCUGGGAGAGCACCUGCUUUGCAAGCAGGGGGUCGUCGUUCGAUCCCGUCAUCCUCCA